GACGAACGCUGGCGGCGUGCUUAACACAUGCAAGUCGAACGGUAAGGCCCUUCGGGGUCCACGAGUGGCGAACGGGUGAGUAACGCGUGAGUAACCUGCCCUUCACUCUGGGAUAACAGUUGGAAACGGCUGCUAAUACCGGAUAUUCAGCUCCUGUCGCAUGGCGGGGGUUGGAAAGUUUUGGUGGUGGAGGAUGGGCUCGCGUCCUAUCAGCUUGUUGGUGGGGUGAUGGCCUACCAAGGCGUCGACGGGUAGCCGGCCUGAGAGGGCGACCGGCCACAUUGGGACUGAGAUACGGCCCAAACUCCUACGGGAGGCAGCAGUGGGGAAUAUUGCACAAUGGGCGGAAGCCUGAUGCAGCAACGCCGCGUGCGGGAUGACGGCCUUCGGGUUGUAAACCGCUUUCAGCAGGGACGAAGCGCAAGUGACGGUACCUGCAGAAGAAGCACCGGCUAACUACGUG
Molecule: ribosomal RNA, 463 nt
Filed under: uncultured bacterium
Lineage: Bacteria
Description: partial 16S ribosomal RNA
Rfam family: Bacterial small subunit ribosomal RNA
Source: RNAcentral